AUUAUGGUGUUUAAAUUACAC
Molecule: non-coding RNA, 21 nt
Filed under: Arabidopsis thaliana (thale cress)
Lineage: Eukaryota; Viridiplantae; Streptophyta; Magnoliopsida; Brassicales; Brassicaceae
Source: RNAcentral